RNAcentral lists this ribosomal RNA (497 nucleotides) under uncultured bacterium. RNAcentral describes it as "partial 16S ribosomal RNA". It matches the Rfam family "Bacterial small subunit ribosomal RNA", at positions 28 to 507 of the family's 1533-position model. The record is from RNAcentral.
GAUGAACGCUGGCGGCGUGCCUAAUACAUGCAAGUCGAGCGAACGGACGAGAAGCUUGCUUCUCUGAUGUUAGCGGCGGACGGGUGAGUAACACGUGGAUAACCUACCUAUAAGACUGGGAUAACUUCGGGAAACCGGAGCUAAUACCGGAUGAUAUUUUGAACCGCAUGGUUCAAAAGUGAAAGACGGUCUUGCUGUCACUUAUAGAUGGAUCCGCGCUGCAUUAGCUAGUUGGUAAGGUAACGGAUUACCAAGGCAACGAUGCAUAGCCGACCUGAGAGGGUGAUCAGCCACACUGGAACUGAGACACGGUCCAGACUCCUACGGGAGGCAGCAGUAGGGAAUCUUCCGCAAUGGGCGAAAGCCUGACGGAGCAACGCCGCGUGAGUGAUGAAGGUCUUCGGAUCGUAAAACUCUGUUAUUAGGGAAGAACAUAUGUGUAAGUAACUGUGCACAUCUUGACGGUACCUAAUCAGAAAGCCACGGCUAACUACGUG